Molecule: unclassified non-coding RNA, 321 nt
Filed under: uncultured bacterium
Lineage: Bacteria
Description: contains 16S-23S intergenic spacer region
Source: RNAcentral
AAUCCGAGAAUUUCACCUCCAAGCGUGUGUACCAAUCGCCGUUCCAGACGAUCAGGAUCUGCUCGAUGAGGGAGUUGAAAGUUGAUUGGUCCAAGAGUGCGCCGGGAAUGGGGCCGAGCAGGUCCUCCUGGUCGGCAGCACCAACGAACAUCGCAGUGUGACCGUUGACCGCCACCACCUGGAUCCGUGAGAUGACGUCGCGGAGUAGCGCCUCGUCCUCUUCGAGAAGUGUGCGGAUAUCAGUGCAACCGGCAGCGCGUUGCUCGGCGCAGAACUGUUCCACGUCUGACCAGUCCUCCAGCCAGAUUGGAGCUGGAAUUA